This is a long non-coding RNA of Heterocephalus glaber (naked mole-rat), 411 nucleotides long. The record is from Ensembl. NCBI's taxonomy places the organism in Eukaryota, Metazoa, Chordata, Mammalia, Rodentia, Bathyergidae.
CCCGCCCCUUCCGGCCUGACCCUGCCUCCUAAGCGCAGUCAGCGCGAAAACCCGUAAUCCGGUCGCCUCCUGGAAGCCCUGCACGGGGUCGCAGGAGGCUUUGGUGACGUUGGAGGCCUAAACCCUAACACCCACACAGCUAAAGCAGUGUUUCGACUGCAUGGAUCAAACUCCGGACCUUGGACUUUCGAGGCAGGUGGCGGAACCACGGAGCUACAUUCCCGGCCCAUUUUGUUCCUUCUUAUCUGGCAAGACCCAUGUGGCAGUCUGAAGUCUAGAAAAUCAUAAUGUAAUAAGGCAAACCCAGGGAGAAGCCAGAGAUGGAAGAUGCUUCUCAGCAUCGCGUAAUGCCCAGGACACCCCACCGCUGAGGACGACCCGGUCCAGGAUGUCAUUAGGGUUUGAAGGGAG